GCUGGGCUUGGUAGCGUGAGCCUGUAACCUGAGUGGGAGCAUUAAGAUGGUGGAACAAUUGGCCUUGCCCUGAAGGUUGGGCUUCGUGUGCUAUCUCUUCUGGCCUACCCGUUCCAAGUGGUGAGUUGACUGAGGAGUCUCAGUGAAGGCCAAGGCUUCUCUGUCUUUAGAUCGGAGGGUACCGCGUUAGGCUGGCUUCACAGAGCAGCGAAAACCUCCUCCUCUUUGCAGGAGACGUUAUGCCAUGGAACCGUGUUCACCAUGAAUGGUGAACACGGUUCCAACGGUGUUAGUGCACCGUUAUCUUC
Molecule: signal recognition particle RNA, 308 nt
Filed under: Ipomoea nil (Japanese morning glory)
Lineage: Eukaryota; Viridiplantae; Streptophyta; Magnoliopsida; Solanales; Convolvulaceae
Description: Plant signal recognition particle RNA
Rfam family: Plant signal recognition particle RNA
Source: Rfam by way of RNAcentral